Molecule: long non-coding RNA, 776 nt
Filed under: Scleropages formosus (Asian bonytongue)
Lineage: Eukaryota; Metazoa; Chordata; Actinopteri; Osteoglossiformes; Osteoglossidae
Description: lncRNA (ENSSFOG00015028812.1)
Source: RNAcentral
AUGGUAUACACUGGAGCCUCGCUGGACAGCCCUCCCAGCUCGUUGAUGGAUCAUUGGUGGGAACUGGAACCCGGUGAGCUGAGUUCUACGACACCAGGGCCAGUUUGUCCUGGUAAGAGCGACAUGAGUGAAACGCACUUGUCACCACUGCUAAGGAUGAGGAUCCUGUCGACCUCGGUGGGGUCCGAUGCGUCUGACACAGCUGAUGCCCACUGGUGCCAGCAAACAGGCUUCCCGGACAGGAAUGGUCUCUGAGGUUCAUAAAUAGCAAUGACCGUUUCAUCACAGGAGGACUGCAGAACGGUCGCGGGUGUCCUACCGUGACCGUCUCCGCCGCCCCGCUGUCGACGGCCAGGGACACUGCCGCCUCCUUUCGAAACGUGUUUCUGACGUCUAUGUAGCAUACACUGUUACUGGGUCAUGUGAACUGAACUGUAUUUAAAGCAAAACAAGCAGCUAACUGAGGAACAACUGGACCAUUCGAGGGCCAGAAGGAGGCGUCACUCCGCACACGGUAACGAAAACGUGAAAAUGUAAAUAGACGACGUUACAGGUGAAAGAGUAACAAACAUAGCGCUUCCUCCAGGUAUCAGUGUGUCUUUGUAGUUCUAGCAGAACCACACAUUCAUAUAUUUAAUUAACAUGUUUCGGGUUCUAAAUGUCAUUUUUUAUUAUUUCACACAUAUUUAGGUGUAUAAAUAGGGAUACGGUGUUUUAAUCACUUGAAUGAUUGUGAAAAGAAUAAAAGUAUUACUUUGUUAGUGUUAAAAUAUCGG